GUACGGCGGUCAUUAUUGUCGGUUGCUGGGUUGCGUGAGUCACCGUUCUCAACGUGCACCGUCGUGCGCUUCGCGCUUCGCACCCGCGUCCUGCUUGCGGGUGUGCCCGCGGGCCGCGAGAUAACGAUGGCGAAUAAUCGGCCCCACCGUCCGGCAGGUCGAGCGCCUUCAAUAACGCGCGGAGAAGCCAUAUAUUACGUGGAGGCCCAGCUGAAUGCGGCCCACUAUGCAAUGAGUAACGCGGAGGAAACAGUGAACAUGCAGCGCGCCGUCCUUUAUUACCUGCGUUCCCUACGCGCUGAAGGUGCCGCCCCCUUGCUGGCUGCCGACCCCGACCCUGGCGCCCCUGGCCCUCACGGGGGUGCUCCGCGGCCCGGUGGCGCCCGCAGCCUGGGUGUGCGUCCCUCGCCGGUGGCUCAGGCCGGAGCCGCCGCAGCCGCAGGUGGUCGUGUGCGAGGCGGUGCCGGUCCCGGUGCUGCAGAUGGUCGUCGUGCACGCCGUGGGCCGGCCGGUUUCGUAGCGUCCACGCCUGCCGGGGCCUCUGCAGAAGCCGAAAUGUUGGGCUUCGGCCGGGGCGCAACUGGCCGGCACCUCCACUGUCUGCACUAUUUCUACUGGUAGCAUGGUAGUAGCUACCAAAGCGGCGCGCCCGGUCUUUUGGGGUAGCACUGAGUUAUGAAGUUACGCGGUUCCCCUCCAUUUUUCUGAUACGAUUUUAGUUUCAAUAAAUUUGAUGUCUCUGCUGUC
Long non-coding RNA from Frankliniella occidentalis (western flower thrips), 747 nucleotides. RefSeq lists it as uncharacterized. Lineage: Eukaryota; Metazoa; Arthropoda; Insecta; Thysanoptera; Thripidae. The transcript is spliced from 3 exons. The record is from RefSeq and is a predicted model, not a curated record.